GACGAACGCUGGCGGCGUGCUUAACACAUGCAAGUCGAACGAAGAGCGAUGGAAGCUUGCUUCUAUCAAUCUUAGUGGCGAACGGGUGAGUAACGCGUAAUCAACCUGCCCUUCAGAGGGGGACAACAGUUGGAAACGACUGCUAAUACCGCAUACGAUCUAAUCUCGGCAUCGAGGAAAGAUGAAAGGUGGCCUCUAUUUAUAAGCUAUCACUGAAGGAGGGGAUUGAGGCUGUUUGGUUAGUUGGAGGGGUAACGGACCAACAAGGCGAUGGUCAGUAGCCGGCAGGGUAGGAUGGACGGCCACAUUGGGAGGGUGACAGGGCCCAGUGGCCUAGGGGAAGGAGCAGGGGGGAAACUUGCGCAAGCGACGAAAGUCUUACGGAGCAGCGCCGCGGGAGGGAGGACGGCCGUCGGGUUGGAAAGCUCUGUUAAUCGGGACGAAAGGCCUUCUUGCGAACAGGUAGAGGGAUUGACGGUACCGGAAUAGAAAGCCACGGCUAACUACGUG
This 510-nucleotide ribosomal RNA is filed under the name uncultured bacterium. Its description in RNAcentral is "partial 16S ribosomal RNA". It matches the Rfam family "Bacterial small subunit ribosomal RNA", at positions 28 to 507 of the family's 1533-position model. The record is from RNAcentral.